UUACACAAACUCUUGAAGACUACUUAUGGGACAGUGAAUGAUGUAGAUGUCCACAUUUGGAUGCUUGCGCAUCGCCAUGGUUGUAUUGUCAGCUCAUCUCAUUCUGGUGUGUAAGCGUUUUUUAUUGGAGAAAAAUUCUUGCUGCGUGCUCAAUGCUGGUCAGGUCAGGUGGGGCUGGAAUGGGCAAUGCCGAAAGUGCUGCUGGCGACUUUUUAGCUGUGGAAAUGUGUAUCUUGCCAUGGCAGGAUGGUGCCCUGGUAGCUGGUAUGGUGUGAUUCUGAAGGUCCAAAGAUUUGACUUUCAUCCUGAUUCUUAUACCCUCUUGGGUCGUUAGUCGUUUACUGCCAUUUGGCAAGAAGAAGAAUCCUCCACGCGCUCUACGGAAUCUACUACUACUGGCCAGCAGUUGAGCUUUUGACGAGACUCUUUUCACUGGAUCCGUACAAUCUGUUUCUGGAUCCCUUUUGCCCCUGCCAUUUCUGGAUAUUCGUAUCUGACAUGCGAAAGAAGCGGAGCAGCCUUUUCUCGGAAAGACUAUGCAUGGCUCGUGCUACAAAUUUUAUAUCCAUCGCCUGAAAGAGCAAAGUAGUCUCGGUGGAGCGAAUCGGCCUAACAUAGAAAUUAUAGUUCUGACAUACUAGUUGGGCUGCCUAUCGUGAUUACAUACGUGAGCUAGCCAAUAUGCAACUAGCGACCUAUUAGCCGCAGCAGCAUGUGGUCGCUGGCCGCGUGAUUAACACAUGGUAUUUGCUACCCAAAAGCUGAGGUGCAUCUUUUUAUUACUGUUUUUCUUUUCUUUCGUCUAUUUCUUUUGGGUUCUAAUUUUUCUUUUUCUUUUCUUUUUUCUUUCUAUUUUCUUUUUCUUUUUCCUUUGUAUAUUAACUUCUUUUAGUUGAACACAGUAGCUCAUGUGGUGCUGGAUGAUGGGAUUUUUAUUACUAACGUUGUGGGUCCAAUACAGCUGGUAGGUUGCUACGGGGUUUGCUUCCUAAUGUUUCUGCUAGCGGACUAGUGAGUAGCUAGGAUGGCAGAGAGACAGUAUAACUCUUUGUACUAUAUAUUCAUACCACUAGAUUUUUAUGUACAAUUUUCUUUCCAUUGUUAUUUUUUUCUCAUUCUAUUAUUUUAUUCUAAGCCUACAUUUAUAAAAAUUAUGUCUUUUUCUCCAUUUAUUUAUACUUAUUUUCCUUUUGUAUUCUUAUCUUAAUUUAUCCUUUUCCUUUUAAACUAGUUUUUACUUUUUUCUUCUCGUGUAUUCUUAUUCUAUUCUAUAUUUUCUUUCUUUGAUUUUAUUCCAUUCUUUUUACCUAUUCUUCUUAUAUUUCUUUGAUAUGUUUCUAUUACUCUCUGUCAUAAUAUAAAAGUUCGAGGCGUAUAA
Long non-coding RNA from Panicum virgatum (switchgrass), 1378 nucleotides. RefSeq lists it as uncharacterized. The transcript has 2 exons. Lineage: Eukaryota; Viridiplantae; Streptophyta; Magnoliopsida; Poales; Poaceae. The record is from RefSeq and is a predicted model, not a curated record.